AUUGAACGCUGGCGGCAUGCCUUACACAUGCAAGUCGAACGGCAGCACGGGUGCUUGCACCUGGUGGCGAGUGGCGAACGGGUGAGUAAUACAUCGGAACGUACCUUAUCGUGGGGGAUAACGCAGCGAAAGUUGCGCUAAUACCGCAUACGCCCUGAGGGGGAAAGCGGGGGACCGUAAGGCCUUGCGCGAUUAGAGCGGCCGAUGUCGGAUUAGCUUGUUGGUGAGGUAAAAGCUCACCAAGGCGAAGAUCAGUAGCUGGUCUGAGAGGACGAUCGGCCACACUGGGACUGAGAAACGGCCCAGACUCCUACGGGAGGCAGCAGUGGGGAAUUUUGGACAAUGGGGGCAACCCUGAUCCAGCAAUGCCGCGUGAGUGAAGAAGGACUUCGGGUUGUAAAGCUCUUUUGUCAGGGAAGAAACAGCAGCUCUAACACAGUCUGCGAAUGACGGUACCUGAAGAAUAAGCACCGGCUAACUACGUGCCAGCAGCCGCCGCCG
This 501-nucleotide ribosomal RNA is filed under the name uncultured bacterium. RNAcentral's name for it is "partial 16S ribosomal RNA". It matches the Rfam family "Bacterial small subunit ribosomal RNA", at positions 30 to 523 of the family's 1533-position model. The record is from RNAcentral.